Molecule: long non-coding RNA, 992 nt
Organism: Triticum aestivum (bread wheat)
Lineage: Eukaryota; Viridiplantae; Streptophyta; Magnoliopsida; Poales; Poaceae
Exons: 3
Source: RefSeq, a predicted model, not a curated record
CCAGCCGCCGCCGCCUGUCCUCUUGCACCUCGGGAUCUCCUCCCGAUCCAACCAGCAACUGCCUCCACCCUCUUCCCUUGAUUUCCCAUUGCUCCAAUCACCAACUCCCUCUGUCCUCCCUGGACGCGUCCCGUCCACCCAACCGGCGCCCGCGCCCGAGCAGCUGCCUCAACCAUGGCUGCGUGUCCCCGACGGCAGCAUCUCCAGCCGCAGCUCCACGCCACCGGAGCGCCACGCCAGGACUCCCUCGCCCUUUCCCUUUCCUUCUUCCCUCUGUUUCCAUCUCCAUCAUCUCAUCUCUAUCUUCCUCUGUGUCUUCUCGCAGCAUCUCCAGUCAGCCUUGGCCUCGUCACCGUGCCGCUCCGGUGACCCAGUCCCCACGACCCCACGCCACAGCCUCCCCAAGCUCUGCUCCACCCCGCCUUGGUUCCAUGAGGAGACGACCACGCCGUCCGCCCUUCCCCAUCUCGAUCGGAUCCAAGUCCCCGCCGCCUCCAGCCACCUCUCCACGGUCAUGGCACCGCUGGAGGUUCCUUGCCCCGAGCCUCUGCCAUGACCAGCACCCGACCCGUAGGUCGCCAGCGCGCCCGAUGCCUCCUCCUCGGUCACGCCACCGGACCCCGCAGACAACUGCUCCAUAGUCGCCCGUCAAGUUCGCGCCCCAGCCUCGAUCUGGACCGGAUCUCCUCUGCUCCGCCGCCUAGCCACCAAAUCCGCCCCGUUCCGGCCGGUUCCCACCGAUCCCGUUGCUAGGACCCCUGCCGUCGUCUUCUGCAUCGCCUGCUGCUGCUUUUGUUCUUCAGAAACGAGCAGCACCAGCCCGCCCGCUCGCCCGCGCCAUUGACCCGUCGCCCUGCUAAGGGGGCCAGCGCCUCCCCAAGGCCCAGCGCCCCUUCCAGCCUCCCUCUCCACCGACUGGGCCUCAGCCUAUGCUUUGGUUUCGUUCCGGAGUUGUGAGGAUUCGUUCGACUACAUCCGAUUGUCUUCUUCAU